AUGUGUGUGAGACAAGAAUAUAUGUGUGUGAGACGAGAAUAUAUGUGUGAGAGUAGAAUAUAUGUGUGUGAGACGAGAAUAUAUGCAUGUGAGAGUAGAAUAUAUGUGUGUGAGAUGAGAAUAUAUGCAUGUGAGAGUAGAAUAUAUGUGUGUGAGACGAGAAUAUAUGCAUGUGAGAGUAGAAUAUAUGUGUGUGAGACGAGAAUAUAUGCAUGUGAGAGUAGAAUAUAUGUGUGUGAGACGAGAAUAUAUGCAUGUGAGAGUAGAAUAUAUGUGUGUGAGACGAGAAUAUAUGCAUGUGAGAGUAGAAUAUAUGUGUGUGAGACGAGAAUAUAUGCAUGUGAGAGUAGAAUAUAUGUGUGUGAGACGAGAAUAUAUGCAUGUGAGAGUAGAAUAUAUGUGUGUGAGACGAGAAUAUAUGCAUGUGAGAGUAGAAUAUAUGUGUGUGAGACGAGAAUAUAUGCAUGUGAGAGUAGAAUAUAUGUGUGUGAGACGAGAAUAUAUGCAUGUGAGAGUAGAAUAUAUGUGUGUGAGACGAGAAUAUAUGCAUGUGAGAGUAGAAUAUAUGUGUGUGAGACGAGAAUAUAUGCAUGUGAGAGUAGAAUAUAUGUGUGUGAGACGAGAAUAUAUGCAUGUGAGAGUAGAAUAUAUGUGUGUGAGACGAGAAUAUAUGCAUGUGAGAGUAGAAUAUAUGUGUGUGAGACGAGAAUAUAUGCAUGUGAGAGUAGAAUAUAUGUGUGUGAGACGAGAAUAUAUGCAUGUGAGAGUAGAAUAUAUGUGUGUGAGACGAGAAUAUAUGCAUGUGAGAGUAGAAUAUAUGUGUGUGAGACGAGAAUAUAUGCAUGUGAGAGUAGAAUAUAUGUGUGUGAGACGAGAAUAUAUGCAUGUGAGAGUAGAAUAUAUGUGUGUGAGACGAGAAUAUAUGCAUGUGAGAGUAGAAUAUAUGUGUGUGAGACGAGAAUAUAUGCAUGUGAGAGUAGAAUAUAUGUGUGUGAGACGAGAAUAUAUGCAUGUGAGAGUAGAAUAUAUGUGUGUGAGACGAGAAUAUAUGCAUGUGAGAGUAGAAUAUAUGUGUGUGAGACGAGAAUAUAUGCAUGUGAGAGUAGAAUAUAUGUGUGUGAGACGAGAAUAUAUGCAUGUGAGAGUAGAAUAUAUGUGUGUGAGACGAGAAUAUAUGCAUGUGAGAGUAGAAUAUAUGUGUGUGAGACGAGAAUAUAUGCAUGUGAGAGUAGAAUAUAUGUGUGUGAGACGAGAAUAUAUGCAUGUGAGAGUAGAAUAUAUGUGUGUGAGACGAGAAUAUAUGCAUGU
Molecule: long non-coding RNA, 1308 nt
Filed under: Nothobranchius furzeri (turquoise killifish)
Lineage: Eukaryota; Metazoa; Chordata; Actinopteri; Cyprinodontiformes; Nothobranchiidae
Description: lncRNA (ENSNFUG00015002330.1)
Source: RNAcentral